RNAcentral lists this transfer RNA (73 nucleotides) under Apaloderma vittatum (bar-tailed trogon). It matches the Rfam family "tRNA". From Rfam's summary of the family: Transfer RNA (tRNA) molecules are approximately 80 nucleotides in length. Their secondary structure includes four short double-helical elements and three loops (D, anti-codon, and T loops). Lineage: Eukaryota; Metazoa; Chordata; Aves; Trogoniformes; Trogonidae. The record is from Rfam by way of RNAcentral.
GGACAGUUAGCUCAGUCAGUUGAGCAUGAUGUUAACAACGCUAAGGUCGUGGGUUUGAUUCCCGUUUGGUCCC